RNAcentral lists this unclassified non-coding RNA (438 nucleotides) under Hevea brasiliensis (rubber tree). Lineage: Eukaryota; Viridiplantae; Streptophyta; Magnoliopsida; Malpighiales; Euphorbiaceae. The record is from RNAcentral.
GGCGAUGCUGUCAUUCUCCUCCAUGUUAGCCCUACUUCCGUCCUCUUCGGUGCCGAUUGGGGCUCUAUCGACAUUACUCUCGAUACCGCCGCUGAUAACCCGGAUGAUGAUGAUGCUUCGAAUUCUGAAAACGGUCAACAGCAGAACCGCGCCGAGCGCUCCAAACGUAAAUUGGAGGAUGAUUUUGACGCUUUCACUGCUUCGAAAGCCGCCGAUCUAGCCAAACCUAUAAAAGAUGCCCAAAUUCCUUACAAGAUUCACAUAGUGAAGGAUCAUGACAUGAGAGAGAGGCUGUGUUUGGAAGUGGAGAGAUUAGGGCUUAAUGCCCUAAUUAUGGGCAGUCGCGGAUUUGGUGCAGCGAAGCGCGGUAACGACGGCGGCCUUGGGAGUGUUAGCGAUUAUUGCGUUCAUCAUUGUGUGUGUCCUGUGGUUGUGGUU